UUAAAUCACAUUAUUGUGUGCGUGCGGAAGACUUUUUUUAUCAUCGGCAGUACGCGUCUCUUAAGAUGUUUUGAACGUGUUUAAAAAUAGAGAAAAAAAUAUUUAAUAAACAAUUGAUUGAAUCACAUUAUUACUAGCUCAUUGUGAGGCUAAGCACACCUCUUUCCCCUUAGUGUGGAUAAUAUUGUUUGCUAAAAAAAAAUUCAUUUGACAACUAAUUGAAUCACAUUAUUAUGCACGUGCAAAAGACAUAUUUUUAUAAACGGCACCACGCGCCUCUUAGGACGUUUUGAACAUGUUUAAAAAUAGAGAAAAUAAUAUUUAAUAAAUAACUGAUUGAAUCGUAUUAUUGCUAUCUCAUUGUGAGACUAAGCUCAUCCCCUCCCUCUUAGUGUAGAUAAUAUUGUUCGUUAAAAAAAAACACAAUCAUUUGACAACUAAUUGAAUCACAUUAUUAUACGCAUGCGAAAGACCUUUUUUAAUACCCGGCACUACAUGCCUCUUAAGAUGUUUUGAACAUAUUUAGAAAUAGAGAAAAUAAUAUUUAAUAAACAACUAAUUGAAUCAUACUAUUAUUAGUCCAUUAAGAGGUUAAGC
This 597-nucleotide long non-coding RNA is filed under the name Malus domestica (apple). RNAcentral describes it as "long non-coding RNA (MDOM_LNC008585)". The record is from RNAcentral. Lineage: Eukaryota; Viridiplantae; Streptophyta; Magnoliopsida; Rosales; Rosaceae.